UGUGGUUUAAUUCGACGCAACGCGAAGAACCUUACCUACACUUGACAUCCUCGGAACUUUCUAGAGAUAGAUUGGUGCCUUCGGGAACCGAGUGACAGGUGCUGCAUGGCUGUCGUCAGCUCGUGUCGUGAGAUGUUGGGUUAAGUCCCGUAACGAGCGCAACCCUUAUCCUUAAUUGCCAGCGGUUAGGCCGGGAACUCUAAGGAGACUGCCGAUGACAAAUCGGAGGAAGGUGGGGACGACGUCAAGUCAUCAUGGCCCUUACGUGUAGGGCUACACACGUGCUACAAUGGCCGGUACAAACGGUUGCGAACCCGCGAGGGGAAGCUAAUCCGAGAAAGCCGGUCGUAGUCCGGAUUGGGGUCUGCAACUCGACCCCAUGAAGUCGGAAUCGCUAGUAAUCGUGAAUCAGAAUGUCACGGUGAAUACGUUCCCGGGC
RNAcentral lists this ribosomal RNA (439 nucleotides) under uncultured marine bacterium. RNAcentral describes it as "bacterial SSU rRNA". It matches the Rfam family "Bacterial small subunit ribosomal RNA", at positions 940 to 1379 of the family's 1533-position model. The record is from RNAcentral.